AUGCAAACUCAACCACUAACUGUAUGAUGUUGCGGAAGAGAGGGAAACCAGGUUAGCUAAGGUAAUGGUGGUGAUGGAAAUGCAUUGGCCUCAGAAGCUACUGAGGUGGUCCAUUUUACCCUUGUACAGUG
This is a small nucleolar RNA of Pteronotus mesoamericanus, 131 nucleotides long. NCBI's taxonomy places the organism in Eukaryota, Metazoa, Chordata, Mammalia, Chiroptera, Mormoopidae. The record is from RefSeq and is a predicted model, not a curated record.